CUGCACUCUGGGACAAGCCCUGGAAACGGGGUCUAAUACCGGAUAUGACUGUCCGCCGCAUGGGGGAUGGUGUAAAGCUCCGGCGGUGCAGGAUGAGCCCGCGGCCUAUCGGCUUGUUGGUGAGGUAGUGGCUCACCAAGGCGACGACGGGUAGCCGGCCUGAGAGGGCGACCGGCCACACUGGGACUGAGACACGGCCCAGACUCCUACGGGAGGCAGCAGUGGGGAAUAUUGCACAAUGGGCGAAAGCCUGAUGCAGCGACGCCGCGUGAGGGAUGACGGCCUUCGGGUUGUAAACCUCUUUCAGCAGGGAAGAAGCGAGAGUGACGGUACCUGCAGAAGAAGCGCCGGCUAACUACGUGCCAGCAGCCGCGGUAAUACGUAGGGCGCAAGCGUUGUCCGGAAUUAUUGGGCGUAAAGAGCUCGUAGGCGGCUUGUCACGUCGGUUGUGAAAGCCCGGGGCUUAACCCCGGGUCUGCAGUCGAUACGGGCAGGCUAGAGUUCGGUAGGGGAGAUCGGAAUUCCUGGUGUAGCGGUGAAAUGCGCAGAUAUCAGGAGGAACACCGGUGGCGAAGGCGGAUCUCUGGGCCGAUACUGACGCUGAGGAGCGAAAGCGUGGGGAGCGAACAGGAUUAGAUACCCUGGUAGUCCACGCCGUAAACGGUGGGCACUAGGUGUGGGCAACAUUCCACGUUGUCCGUGCCGCAGCUAACGCAUUAAGUGCCCCGCCUGGGGAGUA
RNAcentral lists this ribosomal RNA (739 nucleotides) under actinomycete CXB663. Its description in RNAcentral is "bacterial SSU rRNA". It matches the Rfam family "Bacterial small subunit ribosomal RNA", at positions 131 to 882 of the family's 1533-position model. Lineage: Bacteria; Bacillati; Actinomycetota; Actinomycetes; Actinomycetales. The record is from RNAcentral.